CACUGUCUCCAAGGUCCGGAGUCUGGAUUGCUCUGUGUUAACAUACUUAUUUCCAUGUAAGCUCUAUGAAAGUUUCUGUGAAGGCCUAAAAUACAGCCAGAAAGUAUCCUGGGAUCUAGGAAAAUGAGUGGUCAGUGGCGACUGCCAAGCUCCCAGAAAAAUGAAGAGCCAUAGUCCUGCUGAUGUGCCUUCUAUCUAGGCAUGGGACAAAUAUCCAGCGUUCUAGAGACUGCUCAUUCUUCACUGGAACACAAUGGAAAAGCAGAUGGAGGUCGAAAUUGAAUUGCUGCUGACUGUUGUCCCUUGUUAUGGCCUGUGGAGAUAUGACAAUUGAGGAAGAACUUAGAGGAAUGCCAAGUAGCAGAGCAUGAAGCAGUGGGUGUGACCCACUGCCUUGGACAUUUUAUGGCUGAUAGCAUUUGGCAAGAAAAAACUGCAGCCUCUAUAGUAGUCUUGCAAAUAGAUCUCAACAUUAACUAUGCCCUCACCCUCACCCGUAUUUGAUUUACCCUAUAAUGUACUCAUUUGCUAAAAUCCACUCUUCUAAUUGUCAGCUAACUCACUAGUCCUCUCACAAAAAUACCUAAAUAACUAAAUAAAUCAUAC
This is a long non-coding RNA of Canis lupus familiaris (dog), 606 nucleotides long. RefSeq lists it as uncharacterized. Lineage: Eukaryota; Metazoa; Chordata; Mammalia; Carnivora; Canidae. The record is from RefSeq and is a predicted model, not a curated record. The transcript is spliced from 3 exons.